RNAcentral lists this ribosomal RNA (426 nucleotides) under uncultured bacterium. Its description in RNAcentral is "partial 16S ribosomal RNA". It matches the Rfam family "Bacterial small subunit ribosomal RNA", at positions 355 to 773 of the family's 1533-position model. The record is from RNAcentral.
UAGGGAAUCUUCCACAAUGGACGCAAGUCUGAUGGAGCAACGCCGCGUGAGUGAAGAAGGUCUUCAGAUCGUAAAGCUCUGUUGUUGGUGAAGAAGGAUAGAGGCAGUAACUGGUCUUUAUUUGACGGUAAUCAACCAGAAAGUCACGGCUAACUACGUGCCAGCAGCCGCGGUAAUACGUAGGUGGCAAGCGUUGUCCGGAUUUAUUGGGCGUAAAGCGAGCGCAGGCGGAAUGAUAAGUCUGAUGUGAAAGCCCACGGCUCAACCGUGGAACUGCAUCGGAAACUGUCAUUCUUGAGUGCAGAAGAGGAGAGUGGAACUCCAUGUGUAGCGGUGGAAUGCGUAGAUAUAUGGAAGAACACCAGUGGCGAAGGCGGCUCUCUGGUCUGCAACUGACGCUGAGGCUCGAAAGCAUGGGUAGCGAAA